RNAcentral lists this non-coding RNA (110 nucleotides) under Cathartes aura (turkey vulture). RNAcentral describes it as "Eukaryotic large subunit ribosomal RNA". It matches the Rfam family "Eukaryotic large subunit ribosomal RNA", at positions 2875 to 2984 of the family's 3401-position model. Lineage: Eukaryota; Metazoa; Chordata; Aves; Accipitriformes; Cathartidae. The record is from Rfam by way of RNAcentral.
CCUUUGAAGUCGGCUUUUCCUGUUACCACAAAACAGAAUUCAUCAAGUGUUGGUCGGUUUACCCAUUAACAAUGAACACGAGCUGGGUUUAGACUGCCAUGAGACAAGUU